UCUGAUGUGAAAGCCCCCGGCUCAACCGGGGAGGGUCAUUGGAAACUGGGGAACUUGAGUGCAGAAGAGGAGAGUGGAAUUCCACGUGUAGCGGUGAAAUGCGUAGAGAUGUGGAGGAACACCAGUGGCGAAGGCGACUCUCUGGUCUGUAACUGACGCUGAGGAGCGAAAGCGUGGGGAGCGAACAGGAUUAGAUACCCUGGUAGUCCACGCCGUAAACGAUGAGUGCUAAGUGUUAGGGGGUUUCCGCCCCUUAGUGCUGCAGCUAACGCAUUAAGCACUCCGCCUGGGGAGUACGGUCGCAAGACUGAAACUCAAAGGAAUUGACGGGGGCCCGCACAAGCGGUGGAGCAUGUGGUUUAAUUCGAAGCAACGCGAAGAACCUUACCAGGUCUUGACAUCCUCUGACAAUCCUAGAGAUAGGACGUCCCCUUCGGGGGCAGAGUGACAGGUGGUGCAUGGUUGUCGUCAGCUCGUGUCGUGAGAUGUUGGGUUAAGUCCCGCAACGAGCGCAACCCUUGAUCUUAGUUGCCAGCAUUCAGUUGGGCACUCUAAGGUGACUGCCGGUGACAAACCGGAGGAAGGUGGGGAUGACGUCAAAUCAUCAUGCCCCUUAUGACCUGGGCUACACACGUGCUACAAUGGACAGAACAAAGGGCAGCGAAACCGCGAGGUUAAGCCAAUCCCACAAAUCUGUUCUCAGUUCGGAUCGCAGUCUGCAACUCGACUGCGUGAA
This 736-nucleotide ribosomal RNA is filed under the name Bacillus sp. 3.10.2-B3. RNAcentral describes it as "bacterial SSU rRNA". It matches the Rfam family "Bacterial small subunit ribosomal RNA", at positions 588 to 1324 of the family's 1533-position model. The record is from RNAcentral. Lineage: Bacteria; Bacillati; Bacillota; Bacilli; Caryophanales; Bacillaceae.